UUCCGGUUGAUCCCGCCGGACCUGACUGCUAUCGGAUUGAUACUAAGCCAUGCGAGUCAUUGUAGCAAUACAAGGCAGACGGCUCAGUAACGCGUAGUCAACCUAACCUAUGGACGGGAAUAACCUCGGGAAACUGAGAAUAAUGCCCGAUAGAACACUAUAUCUGGAAUGGUUUGUGUUCCAAAUGAUUUAUCGCCGUAGGAUGGGACUGCGGCCUAUCAGUUUGUUGGUGAGGUAAUGGCCCACCAAGACUAUUACAGGUACGGGCUCUGAGAGGAGUAGCCCGGAGAUGGGUACUGAGACACGGACCCAGGCCCUAUGGGGCGCAGCAGGCGAGAAAACUUUGCAAUGUGCGAAAGCACGACAAGGUUAAUCCGAGUGGUUUGUGCUAAACGAACCUUUUGUCGGUCCUAGAAACACCGAUGAAUAAGGGGUGGGCAAGUUCUGGUGUCAGCCGCCGCGGUAAAACCAGCACCUCAAGUGGUCAGGAUGAUUAUUGGGCCUAAAGCAUCCGUAGCCGGCGCUAUAAGUUUUCGGUUAAAUCUGUACGCUCAACGUACAGGCUGCCGGGAAUACUGUAGCGCUAGGGAGUGGGAGAGGUAGACGGUACUCGGUAGGAAGGGGUAAAAUCCUUUGAUCUAUUGAUGACCACCUGUGGCGAAGGCGGUCUACCAGAACACGUCCGACGGUGAGGGAUGAAAGCUGGGGGAGCAAACCGGAUUAGAUACCCGGGUAGUCCCAGCUGUAAACUAUGCAAACUCAGUGAUGCAUUGGCUUGUGGCCAAUGCAGUGCUGCAGGGAAGCCGUUAAGUUUGCCGCCUGGGAAGUACGUACGCAAGUAUGAAACUUAAAGGAAUUGGCGGGGGAGCACCACAAGGGGUGAAGCCUGCGGUUCAAUUGGAGUCAACGCCGGG
RNAcentral lists this ribosomal RNA (914 nucleotides) under uncultured Nitrososphaerota archaeon. RNAcentral's name for it is "bacterial SSU rRNA". It matches the Rfam family "Archaeal small subunit ribosomal RNA", at positions 1 to 922 of the family's 1478-position model. The record is from RNAcentral. Lineage: Archaea; Thermoproteati; Nitrososphaerota.